GUGCCUACAGAGUCCUAAGUGGCUGCAAGCACCUGUUGAAUAAUGGUAGUUGCUCCAAAGUGGUUUUAAAGACUGGAAGAACAAACAAUAGAGUGGUGCCAGGAGGAAGCCAAAUCUUGCAGCCUAUCACCCCAAUGACUGCAUUUCUCAAGAGAUGGAUGGACUCUGUAGAUAAAGAAGGAAAGACUCCUGCUAAUGAAGGGUGUGCUCAAGUAACCAGACUUUCAGACACCACCUUCUAUUUGUGCUACAUUCUCAUAGUGUUCUACUGAUAGUUCUGGAAAAAGGGCUAAAAAGGGAUUAGGGGAGUGCAGCACAUUCUGACCACACUGCCGGACCUGGAAAAUUCACUAUGUCAGGAGAAGAUGGCAUAAAACCAGAUGCUGAGUGACUACAAUCAAUAUGUGCCACACUGAAUAGUUGAUAAAUUGGACUGUGUUCAGAGAAGAGCC
This is a long non-coding RNA of Mauremys mutica (yellowpond turtle), 452 nucleotides long. RefSeq lists it as uncharacterized. The record is from RefSeq and is a predicted model, not a curated record. NCBI's taxonomy places the organism in Eukaryota, Metazoa, Chordata, Testudines, Geoemydidae. The transcript has 3 exons.